Labrus mixtus (cuckoo wrasse) is the source of this 3206-nucleotide RNA transcript. It is a transcript of the gene named leucine-rich repeats and guanylate kinase domain containing, with no coding region annotated. The transcript has 20 exons. The record is from RefSeq and is a predicted model, not a curated record. NCBI's taxonomy places the organism in Eukaryota, Metazoa, Chordata, Actinopteri, Labriformes, Labridae.
AGCGACGACGGUGUUCCCUUCUCCUGUCAAGAUAACUUUACCCUGUAGCUUGAACUCGGAUAUGCUGACUUAUUAACACAAAUUCCCUAUUUGUGUCACUCUUUUGGUCGAUCUGUGGUCUCGCAUUUGCAAGUUUUCACUAUGAAAUAAUGAAAGACACGACUAGUGAACAGUUUUUCACACCGUCGCCUAGCUGCAGCCCCCCAGGGUUCCUCAAUGACGCUGUCUCUGUUGAGGCUCCAAUUUGUGAAGAAGCAAACAGCGGGAUGGAGGUAAAGCAGAUAACUUUGCACCAGAGGUCUUUGGAAAUAAAACAACACAGCAAGAAGGAUGGUGUUUUAACUGCCGAGAUGGUCUCCAGCUGUGUCUCCAACCUUGGCCGCUUCAGCACUGGGCUGCAGCACUCAUACCACCACCUCUCUCUGCCUAGUCAAAAUCUCAGUGACAUCUCCAUUUUAUGCAACUACAUCUAUCUCCAAAAGCUGGAACUGCCGCACAACAAAAUCAAAGAUUUAUCCUGUGUGAGCCACAUGCCCUACCUUGUCAUCCUGGAUAUUUCUCAUAAUGAAAUCUCCAACUUCUUUGGAUUCCAGCCACCCAAGAAUCUUAAGGAAGUAAAUUUUUCCCACAACCGUCUGACAAAACUGAAAGAUUUGUCAGCCUACUCAUCUCUUACUAAACUGGAUCUGGACUACAACUGUCUUAGUGAGAUAUUUGGUCUGGAGCAAUGUUGCCAGCUCACCCAUCUUAGCCUGGCGCACAACAAGAUCUCAAGGAUCAGUGGACUGGAAGCUCUGCCUCUCACACACCUUUGCUUGAGGGGAAACCAGCUGGAGAGGAUAGAAGGGUUUGAGAGUCUGAAGAGUCUGCAGGUUCUUGACCUGUCUAUGAACUGUAUCACCAGUCUGUCUGGCCUCCAGAAUCUCCACCUGCUUGGCUCAAUCAAUCUGGAGAAAAAUCUGAUUAGUGAAAUCCAGGAGUGCAAACACAUUCAUGACCUUUUCCUCCUGAGGGAACUCAACCUGCAGGGAAACCCUGUUCAGGAGCAACCAGGUUAUAGACUAGCGGUCGUCUUCCUCCUUCAACAUCUGACUGUGCUGGACCAAAUGAAAGUCACAGUUGAAGAAAAGGUGUCAUCAGUAAACAAGUAUGACCCUCCUUUGGACGUGGUGGCAGCCAGAGACCACAUGAUCCACCUGGUGUAUCAGCUGAUGCAGCCUCAGGUGCUCUAUGACAGCACUUUGCCCAGUGUAGACUCCCCAUACCCCAUGCUGGUUCUGACUGGUCCUCAAGGCUGUGGGAAGAGAGAGCUUGCCCACAGACUGUGCCAGGAGUUCAGCGAAUACUUUGCCUAUGGAACCUGUCACACCACAAGGAGGCCCUACUUUGGAGAGGAGAAUGGAAUUGAUUACCAUUUUUUCAGUGAGGAAGAUUUUCAGAACAUGAUACACAUGGGUAAGUUUAUCCAGACCAUGCAGCACGGGGGUCACAGGUAUGGUCUGACCAGAGACGCCAUAGAGGAUGUAGCCAGAGAAGGACUCGCCUGCUGUGUGCAUAUGGAGCUAGAGGGGGUGUUCAGUCUGAAGAAAAGCUGCUUCGAGCCUCGAUACAUCCUGCUCAUACCCACCAAGGUGGAGAAAUACAUGGACCAGCUUAAAAGCCGUGAUCUUUAUACCCAAGCACAGAUUGAUAUGGCUGUGUCACGUAUAGAGCUCUAUGCCAAUACCAACAGGCAAAGGCCUGGAUUCUUCGACAAUGUUAUCCCCAGUGAUGACUGUGAAGAAGCCUUUCAGUCCCUGAAGCAGAUUGUGAAGGAGUACCUGUUGCUAGAGGAGCUGGAUGAUGGGGAAAACAGAGCAUCUCCUGACAACACCUCAGUGGGUCACGAGCCAGAGGAAAAGCUACUUUCACCCCUGUCAAGGUCUACACCACACUCAGCCAUGGCUCUUGAUCCAUCACAUUUGUCCUACAGGAACUAUUUCACCAAGAUCCAGGCAGAGCUCAGCCCACAGAAGAGCCCGGCAGAGCUAGCCUCCAUCGCAAGGCGAGAGCAGCUGGUGAGAGAGGCUAUAGUGGGGAAGAGUCCAGGGGUCUACAGCCAGCUCUUCAAAAGGUUUGUUAUAAGUAGCACACACUCCACUGCACUCCAAGGCUUGAUUUCAAGUAGAUACUCUCUGAUAGGCCAAAUAGGUUUAAUUGGUGCUUUUGUCCUAACUGCCUUUUGAUGGUUUAUUUUGGGUUGUUGUUGACCUUGAGGGUGAAGUGGCAGGUGCCCAAAUAAUUUGAUUCUUAACUGUUUGUUAAUAAGAAGUGCUUGUGCAGUGUCUCUCUUCUAAAACAAACCAUACUCCAGUCAUUAUUACAACACAUCUGAAUGAAUGCUUGAAUUUGUUGUUUUUAAUUUUCAGUUCUGCUCAAACAGCACCAUCACAAUCCCAGAAUCAGGAUCCUGGUACCCGUGUGAGUGAAGACAGCAGCAGCUCGGACGAGUCUCGUGCUAGUUCUGCACGAUCCGUGCCCAGUUCAGCUGGGGCCUUGUCCAAUCUAGUGGAGCCACUAGAUAUCUCUGUCCUGGGUCAAGCCUUGGAAACACCCAAAGGUCAAACUGCUGAAGACCUCCCUCCUGGCACAGAUCAGAUGGAUUUGGUCGUGUCUCCGUCUUCUGACAGACGUCCUGGUUCCAAUGCUUUGCCCAUCCUGCCACCAAUCCCUACUGGACGCAAGACCCCUGCAGCAUCCAGCCCUGCUCCUUCACCCAGACCCAGCCCAAACCCAUCAGUAGGAGAGGGAAGCAUGCAGACAAAGAUGGCUAGCACUGAAUCUGAAAUCUAAAAAUAUGUACAAAUUGAAAGUUACUGCUUGUUGAAGAAUAAAUGUUAUCCACAUUAAGAUAAAGUAAGAAGUAGCCAAUCAAUCAGUCAUACUCUUUCUAGGUUCGAUUUCACUGUCAGCUCUUGCCUUUCCUGUGAUCUGUCUGUCUUGUAUCAACAUGUCUGGUUCUCUUUACUAUAUCUACCUGGCAAGUGAUGGCCUUAAUAGUCAUAUAUACGGUGACUAUAAGGUAUAAUUACAGGAAAAGCGUUUCCUCUGUGUAGAAGACUGGCAUACUGGCCAUAAAGUAUACAUUGUUGAUAAAGACUAUCAUUUGCAGACUGAUUGACGAGGAUGUCUUUCAGUUAUGAUGAAUAAAAGCGUGUUGAACAAAA